RNAcentral lists this ribosomal RNA (474 nucleotides) under Metadesmolaimus sp. Its description in RNAcentral is "SSU rRNA". It matches the Rfam family "Eukaryotic small subunit ribosomal RNA", at positions 482 to 961 of the family's 1831-position model. The record is from RNAcentral. Lineage: Eukaryota; Metazoa; Nematoda; Chromadorea; Monhysterida; Xyalidae.
GAGACGGUUCUCAAUGAGGCCCGUUAUCGGAAUGAGUACAAUCCAAACACUUUAACGAGGAUCUAUCAGAGGGCAAGUCUGGUGCCAGCAGCCGCGGUAAUUCCAGCUCUGAAGGUGUAUACCACCGUUGUUGCGGUUAAAACGCUCGUAGUUGGAUCUACGUUCGUGGGGUCGGUGUUCUCGAAUGAGAUCUACUGGCUACCUGGACUGAUACAGCUGGUUUUCCCUUGGUGCCCUUCACCGGGUGCCUUGGGCGGCUAGCAAGUUUACUUUGAAAAAAUUAGAGUGCUCAAAACAGGCGCAUGCCUGAAUAGUGGUGCAUGGAAUAAUGGAAUAGGAUCUUGGUCCUAUUUUGUUGGUUUUCGGGAACCAAGAUAAUGAUUAAGAGGAACAGACGGGGGCAUUCGUAUUGUGGCGUUAGAGGUGAAAUUCUUGGAUCGCUGCAAGACGAACAACUGCGAAAGCUUUUGCCAA